AGCUGACGUCACGCCCAGACGUCCCAAGGUAUGAGCUGUAGAUACGCACGUGAGCGCUGGUGGGAGACGCCAGGCUGGGAUUUCCGCUCGAUCUGGGAAUGAGCAAUGCAACCUAAUGACACCCAGAGCUCCUGAAUCACCCGAGGAAAAUGACGAGAGACUCCCUCCGGUGGGAACGUCUCCUAGAAACAAGGCCUAAGAUGGGGCGACAACAGCCCCACAGCUGUGUCCAGAUGCAGGGAGCACUCGCCUGUGCUGUAAGUCUGUCCCACAGUGGAGAAAAGGCUCAGACCCCACGGCUCUGCUGUCCACCCUCAGUGCGGGGGAGAGGGGGGAUCCAUAUCGGCAGUCAAGGAGCGGGAAUCUGAAAAGGCCAAGGCUGAACCCUGCACAGAACCCAGACCUCCGUGUGCCUCCAGAAACAGCCGAGGCUGGGCCUUCCUUGAGAUACUCUUCAACUUCAAGGCUCUUCUCACCUGAGCUCCUUGGAAGCUGUCCCAGACAGCUGCUGGUCCCUCCUCUGUCCCCACUGUGCAGAGUGUGGCCCCACUGGAGAGACUGUUUUUCCCCCCGUGUAUUGGAGUCAGUCACCCUCACCUGGAAGAAUGGGACUGUUGAAUUGAGGCAUCAUGGGUCACUUCCAUCCCAGAGCGUUUGAUUUGAGUGGUGAGGGACGGCCGGUGUCAUCGUUGGAGCUUCCUAAGAGUCCCAGAGGCUGAUGCACCUCCCAGACUCUCCUCGGCCCGGCUCCCUGGGCCCUGCUCCAGGGGCUUCAUUGCUCCCUGCCCCGGGUCACCCCUCGGCUCACCGUCUCUCAGGUGUGGAAUAUCCUGCUCCAAUCAAAGCCAUGUCACCUGCGUUGUCCAGUGAAACAUCAGUGGACAGGCGCUGCCCGGGCUCCAGGGAGCUCCUCACUGAGGCUCACUCCCUGUGCCUCUGCCAUCAGCACAGGGGGACAUGCCUGGCUGCCUGUGGGACCAGGGAGGACGCGCGGUGCGGGAGCAGAGCCAGCCACACUGCCGCUGCUGCACUGUUCAUCUGAGUGGCGCAAGGGCAAGGAGAGGACCGUGCAUCCUCAGUGACAGUGGUGCCUCACCAUGCUUUAGAGAAGCCUGUCCUUGCCCCCGAGCUGCUCUCCAUGGAGUCCUGUUUGCGCACCGGAGGUCCCUGUGAAGGAGCGUCCAUCAGGUCUGGACGUGCACCUGACCUCGCUGACUGAGAACGUGGUGACUAAGGUGACUAAUGCUCCAUUACUUCUGCGUCUGAUACCCAGGUCCAUGCAGGCUUCUCUGGCCUCUGUCCUUGGAUCCUUAAAUUAAUCCAAGGAUGCAGCAGUUGGGGCCUCACUGGAGAACUCGUGUAUUUACCACACAGGAGACUGAGGCAGGGAGUGGGUUACGGAGGGGACGGGAGAGCUGAGAAGUCAGAUGGGGGCUGGGAGGCAACUCAGAGGCCAGGAGAGAAGGCGGCGGCUCCAUCCCUGGGCUGGAGCGGGGUGGGUGGUGCUGGCGGAGCCCAGGGCUGGGGUCUCUGGGGAAGCUGGACCCACAGCAGCCUCGGUGUGCAGGAACGACGUGCGCAGCAGGCCGGAGGCUGCCUGAUUCUGACGCGUGUUCAUGGAGGCCCGUGUGCAGCGAUGAGCCCCAGCCAGCAUCCGGGUGAUCCCCAGCCAGCAUCCGGGUGAUCCCCAGCCAGCAUCCGGGUAAUCCCCAGCCAGCAUCCGGGUGAUCCCCAGCCAGCAUCCGGGAACUUGGCUUUUGGAACGUUUCCUGAGUGACUGGUUGACCAGGUCGUUUGUGCACUCAGGGAACUAAGCCGUUCCCUACCAGCUGCCUGGACUCUGCAGUGUGAUCAGCGCACGCCUGACUUCUGUCACCACAGUGGCUGCACAGGCAGAGGGUGCCUAUGUGACCAGCCCCCUGUAGAAGCCCCGCACUCGGAGACCUACACGGCCUCCCUGGGAAGCGACACUCUGGAUGUGUUGCUGACUUGGUUGCUGGAGCAAGACGCGUGUUUGGUGGACUCCCCUGGGUCUUUCUCCCCUGCUGAUCUUGCUACGUGGCCUUUCUCUGUAAUAAGCCAUGGAGUCCACUCUCUAAUCACGCAGUGUGUGGUGGCCCCAGGACCCCUGAGACGUGGAGCUGGCAGGGAAGACAGGCAGCUGCCCGAGGCGCUUGAGGCAGAGAAGGAUGGGGAAUAGCCUGGCUCCUCCCCGCCCCCCAUCACCCACCAGGGCCUCUCACUGUCUGAGCUCAGCCUGAGGCUAGCUGACCAGGGGUGUGGGAAGCCCAACUCUACAAAUUCGCAGCAGAUCAGCCCCCAACCCCCACAAAUUCCCAGCAGAUCAGGAAGGGCGGGGCAUGGAUGAAAGGGCAUCAGGGCCACAGGCCCAGGACAGGCACGUGGGUUGCUCUUGGAGGCAUUUGCAGGUACACUAAGAAGCUCCAGGAAGGACACACACACACACAUAUACACACACAUACACAUACAUAUGCACACACAUACAUACACAGACACACACACACACGUACACAGACACACAGACACACAUACACACACACAUUCCCCUGCCCUCCCAUCUCCAGACCUUGCGGUCCCCAUGAGCUUCCCGAUUCCUGGCACUGCCGGGCUGUCCUGAAGGCUCUUUUGGCCAGAAAUGGGCAGGGAUCUGAGAGCACCUGCUGUCGGGUGAGUCCUACUGUACUCAUGUCAGAGAUUAGGACGAGAAGACACAGGAGUGAGCUGGGCUGGAGUCUCAGCUGCAGAUGACAAGGAGAGCACAGUGGAAAGCCUGGCCCACCUCCCCUCCCCACUGGGCCCCUGGGUGGGAUACCACCAUUUCCAGAAUGGGCUGUGGGUUGCGCGGGCUCCUGAGGUUCGCUGAACCGGGGCUCUGAGGGGUCCCCAAAGUGCUUCCUCCCUGUCCUGUGCCCCCACCCCAUGGGGUGGAAGAGCCGCCCACAGGCCUGGGUUCCGCCAUGCACAAGGGAACUGGACCUUGGUGACUAUUCAGGAGGGAGUCUCCGGGCUGCCCUUCCCAUGACCACAUGUCAAUCCCCUUUGGCCCCAAGGGAAUUUCUCAUAACCCUCCCUUGGAGGAGCCCCCUCGGUGCCAGCCCACCCUCAUCACUCUCUCCUGAACCCCCAUGAACAGACUCCGUGGCGCCUCCACCUGCCUUUGUCCCGCCAACCCUCCCUGUCCAGAGCAGCCAUGGGGCCUCUUACAGUUUUAAGUCUGUCUGCAUCACGCGUUUCCUCAGAGUCUCCUCAGGCUGGGUGAGUCCUCGUCCUAAUAGGCCCUGACUGCCUGGCGCUGCCUACCUCUCCUGCCUCAGCAGGAGCUGCCCACACCUGUCCUCAGCCAACCAAGCUCCUAACCGUCGGGGAUCCUGGGACUCGGGCCUGCCUUUGCUGGACACUUCCGUCAGAUUUCUACCUGGCCACGUUCCACUCUUUCUUAAGGAUUCUGCUUAAAAGUCACGUCCUCUAAGGCUCCUCGCUGGCCUUCCCCACCACAUUGAUGUCCAGAUGAAGAAACAAAAGUUCUGAGAGGUCUUCAGGAACUUGUAUAUAAUUACAGAGGUAAUAAGGAUUGGUUGGAAAUGAAACCAAGGGCUACCUCCUGUCCCCAAAGCUCAUGCUCUUAACCCCUUCACCAUGAGUUUCUGGUUCUAUUCCUAGACUCUAGGCAUCAUAUACUCCUGUUAAUACUUUCUGUCUUCAAGCAAGUCCAUUUACAUUUAUAUUAUAAAAGGUUAAAUUGUUCAUGAAUAUAGCUUCUAGAUUCAGACCACCUGGAUUCAAAUUUAGACUCCACAUAUACUGGCUGUGAGAUAUUGCCCAGUGUGCAUAAUCUUGCCAAGGCCUCAAUUUCUUCACUUAUAGUAUAGGGAAGACAGUAUGGCCUACCUAGUGACAAUGGAUGGUUGUGAGGAUUAAACGAGAUAAAUCAUGUAAAGCAUUUGCCUGACUCUUAUUAAGUGUUCAAUAAUACUCUCAUAGAGUGUAAACUCCUUUGAAAUUAGGCAUAAGACUUUAGGUAUAUAAAGAGCCUGAACAGAGAUGUACUUGAAUUCACGUCUUUAUAAAACACAAAAAUUAUUGCAACAAUCUUCAAAUAGUCUUCAAGCCUUCUCCACACAUUGUUGUAAUCUAUGUAAAGGAAAAUAAAAAAAUCUCAGCCAGGAGCGGUGGCUGAAGCCUGUAAUCCCAGCACUUUGGGA
RNAcentral lists this long non-coding RNA (4223 nucleotides) under Homo sapiens (human). Its description in RNAcentral is "HSALNT0371832". The record is from RNAcentral. Lineage: Eukaryota; Metazoa; Chordata; Mammalia; Primates; Hominidae.